UCUCUGGUAGUAUAUCGGUUAGUACACGCGCCUGUCAUCAUCAAGCGCACGAAUUGCUGCGCGCGAAAGCUGGGUUCGACUCCCAGCCAGAGAG
This 94-nucleotide transfer RNA is filed under the name Armillaria gallica. RNAcentral's name for it is "tRNA-Asp". It matches the Rfam family "tRNA". Rfam says of the family: Transfer RNA (tRNA) molecules are approximately 80 nucleotides in length. The record is from RNAcentral. Lineage: Eukaryota; Fungi; Basidiomycota; Agaricomycetes; Agaricales; Physalacriaceae.